UUCGGACCUCCAAUCAAGCAAGGCUACCCGCUGGAUUUAAGCAUAUAACUAAGCGGAGGAAAAGAAACUAACCAGGA
Molecule: ribosomal RNA, 77 nt
Filed under: Nannochloropsis sp. LL-2012
Lineage: Eukaryota; Eustigmatophyceae; Eustigmatales; Monodopsidaceae
Description: partial 28S ribosomal RNA
Rfam family: Eukaryotic large subunit ribosomal RNA
Source: RNAcentral